UACGUAGGGUGCGAGCGUUGUCCGGAAUUAUUGGGCGUAAAGAGCUCGUAGGCGGUUGGGUAAGUCGGGUGUGAAAACUCAGGGCUCAACUCUGAGACGCCACUCGAUACUGCUCUGACUCGAGUCCGGUAGGGGAGCGUGGAAUUCCCGGUGUAGCGGUGAAAUGCGCAGAUAUCGGGAGGAACACCAGUGGCGAAGGCGGCGCUCUGGGCCGGAACUGACGCUGAGGAGCGCAAGCGGGGUAGCAAACAGG
RNAcentral lists this ribosomal RNA (253 nucleotides) under uncultured bacterium. Its description in RNAcentral is "partial 16S ribosomal RNA". It matches the Rfam family "Bacterial small subunit ribosomal RNA", at positions 524 to 776 of the family's 1533-position model. The record is from RNAcentral.